RNAcentral lists this ribosomal RNA (497 nucleotides) under uncultured bacterium. RNAcentral describes it as "partial 16S ribosomal RNA". It matches the Rfam family "Bacterial small subunit ribosomal RNA", at positions 28 to 507 of the family's 1533-position model. The record is from RNAcentral.
GAUGAACGCUGGCGGCGUGCCUAAUACAUGCAAGUCGAGCGAACAGAUGAGGAGCUUGCUCCUCUGACGUUAGCGGCGGACGGGUGAGUAACACGUGGAUAACCUACCUAUAAGACUGGGAUAACUUCGGGAAACCGGAGCUAAUACCGGAUAAUAUAUUGAACCGCAUGGUUCAAUAGUGAAAGACGGUUUUGCUGUCACUUAUAGAUGGAUCCGCGCCGCAUUAGCUAGUUGGUAAGUUAACGGCUUACCAAGGCAACGAUGCGUAGCCGACGUGAGAGGGUGAUCGGCCACACUGGAACUGAGACACGGUCCAGACUCCUACGGGACGCAGCAGUCGGGAAUCUUCCGCAAUGGGCGAAAGCCUGACGGAGCAACGCCGAGUGAGUGAUGAAGGUCUUCGGAUCGUAAAACUCUGUUAUUAGGGAAGAACAAAUGUGUAAGUAACUAUGCACGUCUUGACGGUACCUAAUCAGAAAGCCACGGCUAACUACGUG